This 341-nucleotide unclassified non-coding RNA is filed under the name soil metagenome. RNAcentral describes it as "partial contains 5.8S ribosomal RNA, internal transcribed spacer 2, and large subunit ribosomal RNA". The stretch from base 1 to 120 matches the Rfam family "5.8S ribosomal RNA", at positions 35 to 154 of the family's 154-position model. The record is from RNAcentral.
GAUGAAGAACGUAGCGAAAUGCGAUAAGUAGUGUGUAUUGCAGAAUUCAGUGAAUCAUCGAAUCUUUGAACGCACAUUGCGCCCUUUGGUAUUCCAAAGGGCAUGCCUGUUCGAGCGUCAUUUGUACCCUCAAGCUUUGCUUGGUGUUGGGCGUCUUGUCUCUAGCUUUGCUGGAGACUCGCCUUAAAGUAAUUGGCAGCCGGCCUACUGGUUUCGGAGCGCAGCACAAGUCGCACUCUCUAUCAGCAAAGGUCUAGCAUCCAUUAAGCCUUUUUUUCAACUUUUGACCUCGGAUCAGGUAGGGAUACCCGCUGAACUUAAGCAUAUCAAUAAGCGGAGGA